RNAcentral lists this ribosomal RNA (382 nucleotides) under Gardnerella pickettii JCP8017B. RNAcentral's name for it is "bacterial SSU rRNA". It matches the Rfam family "Bacterial small subunit ribosomal RNA", at positions 1 to 380 of the family's 1533-position model. Lineage: Bacteria; Bacillati; Actinomycetota; Actinomycetes; Bifidobacteriales; Bifidobacteriaceae. The record is from RNAcentral.
UUUCGUGGAGGGUUCGAUUCUGGCUCAGGAUGAACGCUGGCGGCGUGCUUAACACAUGCAAGUCGAACGGGAUCUGACCAGCUUGCUGGUUGGUGAGAGUGGCGAACGGGUGAGUAAUGCGUGACCAACCUGCCCCAUGCUCCAGAAUAGCUCUUGGAAACGGGUGGUAAUGCUGGAUGCUCCAACUUGACGCAUGUCUUGUUGGGAAAGUGUUUAGUGGCAUGGGAUGGGGUCGCGUCCUAUCAGCUUGUAGGCGGGGUAAUGGCCCACCUAGGCUUCGACGGGUAGCCGGCCUGAGAGGGCGGACGGCCACAUUGGGACUGAGAUACGGCCCAGACUCCUACGGGAGGCAGCAGUGGGGAAUAUUGCGCAAUGGGGGAAA